UGUAGGGACCAAACGGCUUCUCAGCAAGGCAAAGUUCUGAGCAGAACUUCUCUGGGGUGCAGGAAGAAAGACCAACCCACUAGAGAGCAUGAGGGACUCGGCUCCUGCGGAGAUGGAGGCCAGGCUGCUGAGCAGGUGGGAGUUCUGUUCCGCGGAAGGAUGGUCUGGCCUCGCUCUCAAACUGGUCAGCCCAGUGUUCCCCCAGGCCUGAGAAGAGCCCUGUGUGUCUGCCAACGAGGAGUUCACUCUAGGAACCCGUGAGCGCUCCAGAGCCCACGCAAACAGGCCACAUGACGUUGUCUCUGGAAUGAAGCGAGCAAGACGUGUAACCCUGCGCCGGCAGCCAGGGAGGAUUUUUGCUUCAGCUUCAUCCAUAGCAGAGCCCGAGUAGACCGUGCAGGCGGAUCGCUUUCCCACCGCCUGGAGCAGGGUCCCCUGCAAAGCUGCGUGUGCGCUGCCAUUCCAGUCCCCGGCACACGGCUCCCCCCGGAGCCCCGGAGACAACGCCGCACGCCCCGCCGAGCCCUGCAGAGAGCCUGGCCGGAACGGCGCCGAGUCGCGGAAACACCUGCAUCCGUCUCCCUUUUUGAACAGCCUUGGCUCUUCAAAGAGACGUGUUCCACGGAAAGGACAGCAGGCAGGGGACUGGGUCUGGGCCCUCGGCCUGCCCGCGGACAGGGGCUGCUGCUGGAGGAAGCAAAGGUGGUGCCGGAAGCAGCCAGUGAGAAGGAAGCGGCUGUGCUAGGAACCCUGCGGCUCUGAUGGCUGCUUUAAUGAAGAUCACGUUAUUAAAUCCCAGAGCACGAUUGCUGGGGAGAAAUAGCAAUUGAUGGGAUUGGAGUCCCUAGUGAUCGGUGCCGAAGAGGAUUAAAGUUCUGUGCCGGGAGCCUCAGCAAAAGGUGUUAAUGGUCAGCGGCAGUUCUCCAUGUGCUACUGGGCACACUCACCACCCGGCUCCCUGUUAGCCGGGACUGCGACCCAUUUAGUGCUUGCUUUGAAAUUUUAUCUUCCCAUCUUGUUUUCUGUUUCCUCUUUUUUUUCUUUUUCAGAGACCUCAGCUGUGUGCCAGCAUUCUCUGACCAGCAUUUCCCAUGUGUUUCCUAUUUAGUGUGUGAUGUGUCUAGCCAUUCCACUUCUCUUGCCCUUUUAAGUGGUGUCAGUCAUUUCGCUCUGCUACUAGUUGCUUUUUUCUCUGCAGCCUCCAACACUCAGCAUGAAUCCUUACCUGACUCUUCAGCUAUCUCCUCCUUCCGGCUUCCUCUCUCUGGAUAAUAUUAAUGUGACAAAUCUCAGAGCUUCCCCCUGUGCGUCGUUAGCCAGAGCCCCACUGCCACUCCACAGAGGUGUCUGUUCAGACCUAAUGCUAAACUGCCGUUGCUUUUUUGACCUCGUUAUUGAUGUGUGGGUGCCCUGCCCCUCCGACCCCGCAGGCCGGCAGCAUCUCCGGCACCAUGUGAACACAACAUGUUGCCUGCCAGAGCUGACCAAGCUGCUGUCUUUGCGGAGGCCGGCAGGACAGCAACUGUUAAACUUCUCCAGAAUCCAAGCCACUUGGAGCAGUGGGUCCCAUACAAAGCCAGAGGGAAGACAGGCCUCCAUUCAAGUUUGGGUCCAAUCUGGACUCCCUCAUGUUUGGAGGGGCCCAGUCCCACUUUCCAAGCAUUUCUGAUCCAGGAAAUCCAGGGCAUGUCCGACGUAAUCACAGGGACUGUGCCUCCAGGAAUUCAAAGCUCUAAUGUAACACCUGAGAAAACCGGUACCGAGCCCGACCCCGGGCAUCCCUUGCUGGCUGGCUGCUCUGGUUUUGACUGUGGGUUUUAUUCUGCUUGUCUGUAUGAAAUAUUUGGUGUGCCUUGAAUGUUCUGACUUCACUGCAGACCCUCUGGGGCUGUGCAUUGCACACGCUGCCUGUCAAUACAUUGCACACUGGCCGCUCAGUGCCUGUCAUAUUUGACUAACUGGUUCUGUGCCUUGAAUGUUACAUUUAAUAAAAUAAUUCGUCCCGAAAAGGAAUGGUGGUGCUGUGGUGCCACAGCGAUCUCAGUGGAAACUCCAGUCCAGGCCU
This is a non-coding RNA of Pelodiscus sinensis (Chinese soft-shelled turtle), 2065 nucleotides long. NCBI's taxonomy places the organism in Eukaryota, Metazoa, Chordata, Testudines, Trionychidae. The record is from RefSeq and is a predicted model, not a curated record.